GUCAGUAACCCCGCUCUCGUAGACGGAGCUUGUAUGAGCAAUCAUGGAAGCUGUACUGACCAGACCACCCUGAGCGCAAUCGAAGGGUAGCCGUUAUUUGGGUCAUAACACCUGGGAAUGCGACGCUAGUUCCCCGCUCUGUUAUCUGCAAUUAAACAGUUUUAAGGUCACUGAAACAGUGUUGCAGGUCGAACAAGCCCGAAUAACAAGGUCGAAGCAAACAUCAC
The sequence is a non-coding RNA, 227 nucleotides long. It matches the Rfam family "HNH endonuclease-associated RNA and ORF (HEARO) RNA". The record is from Rfam.